GCGGAGGAAAAGAAACUAACAAGGAUUCCCCUAGUAACUGCGAGUGAAGCGGGAAAAGCUCAAAUUUAAAAUCUGAUGGUGUCUCAGACCGUCCGAGUUGUAAUUUAGAGAAGCAUUAUCUGCACUGGACUGUGUGCAAGUCUUCUGGAAUGAAGCAUCGCAGAAGGUGAGAAUCCUGUCUUUGACACAGACUACCAGCGCUUUGUGAUAUGCUCUCGAAGAGUCGAGUUGUUUGGGAAUGCAGCUCUAAAUGGGUGGUAAAUUCCAUCUAAAGCUAAAUAUUGGCGAGAGACCGAUAGCGAACAAGUACCGUGAGGGAAAGAUGAAAAGAACUUUGGAAAGAGAGUUAAACAGUACGUGAAAUUGUUGAAAGGGAAACGCUUGAAGUCAGUCGCAUUGGUCAGGGAUCAAUCUUGCUUUUAGCUCGAUGUAUUCUCUGAUUAAUGGGUCAGCAUCAAUUUUGAUCAACGGAGAAAGGUUGAGAGAAUGUAGCAUCUUUAUUGAUGUGUUAUAGCUUUCGAUUGCAUACGUUGGUGGAGAUUGAGGAAUUCAGCCAUGCCGCAAGGUUUGGUUUAGGAUGCUGGCAUAAUGGCUUUAAUCGACCCGUCUU
Molecule: ribosomal RNA, 610 nt
Filed under: Pouzarella lageniformis
Lineage: Eukaryota; Fungi; Basidiomycota; Agaricomycetes; Agaricales; Entolomataceae
Description: LSU rRNA
Rfam family: Eukaryotic large subunit ribosomal RNA
Source: RNAcentral